CUCCUACGCGAGCCCUCUCUCAUCUCUCUUUCUUCCUGUAUCUGAACUCCUCAAACUCUAGCAGCCACAACUCCAUCUCUUCCGUUUCUCUCAUCCUAGAACGGAAGAAAUAUGGAAAAUCAGGGCUCUUCCAUUUGCUUCCACAGAUUUCUCGAGCUCCGGAUCACUAGCCUCCGUACGAAGGUAGCAAAAUGAUGUAAACUCGCGAUUUACGGUGGCUUUGAAAGGGUGACUUGCUCUUAUAAAGUUCUGGAAGACAAACUGCUUUGGAGCCAGCAACACUCAAUAGCCAGAACAAUGACCUUUCUCUCCCUUAUCGGAAAAUAAGUGCUUUCAGGAAGUGCUCAACCACAAGUGAUCAAGUAGUGUAUUUUGUGUUUCCCUUCCUCCACUGAGAAGUUUGUGAAAUCGCAGGGGUUGGAACACCACUAUUGGUUUUGAUCAAUUGUCUUAUUCAUGUGGUUAAGGCUGGUGCAUUUAAGUCCCGUAGCAACGCGCGGACAUUUUUGCUAGUCUAUUCUAAAGUUCGAAGGGAAUUGGCCUGUUAAUGGCUACAGUAAAACAAACGCCCCUCGAUUUCAUCUUAUUUGCAAGAAACCCAUCUGAUAUGGGCUGGGUUGGGAGGGUAAUUCUCAAAAGGUCAGAGGGUGAUUUUGUCCAUAUGGUUUAGCACAGAGCCACUCGAUUUCAUGCUAUUUACCACAUUACCAGCCAUAUGGGGCUGGGUUGGGAGGGUAAUUCUUAAAAGUUCACAGGGUAAUUUUGUUCGUUCGGUUUAGCACGGAUUGCUGGGUUACAGGCGUGCGCUCUCCUCUCAUCUCUCACACUUCCUCUUCCUCUCCUACGCGAGCGCUCUCUCAUCUCUCACUUUUCCUGUUUAAGUCCUUCUCAAACCCUAGCAGCCACAACACCAUCUCUGAAAUAGCAUCAGCUCCUGCUUCCUAAAACCAAAACCACACAAACUGGCUUCCAUUUCUGUAACUCAAGAGCUUCGGUGAGAUGAAGGAGAGGAGCAGGGAGAUGGGUUCGAGUCCGCCAACAGCGGAAGAGAUCUUCAGGGAUUACAGUGCUCCGAGAACCGAUGCCGUCCACUCUUUAACUAACGCUUAGACCAUCACGAUUCACCAUUAUCACCCCAGCCCUGCCGUCGCGGCCACAUCACCGCCGUCGAAAACACUACCAUACCAUCAUCCUGCAACAGAUUAGGGAGAGAAAAUAUAACCAUACCUGUGUGGUUGCUCUUCAAAUUGGUGCAUUAUUAACGAAUGGAUCACGUCAGAGAAUCAUAUGCAAGACAAAUCCCAAACCUUUCUUUCCAUCGUCCAGAUCGUGUCAAAGGCUGGGCAUCAAGCUGCUUUGCCCCUCUCCAUCUGAUGUUGCCCCCUUGGCAGUUCUAUCACUACUGUGAAAGGGCUGGAGCUUUUUGGCGUCAAACUUAGUGAUGCUUCAUAUAAAUUGGGGAAAAAAAUUGCUACCAGAGCCUCUGUUGUUAAGAUUCUCAUUCGGUUGCUGUUUUAAAUUUGGGCUUUCAUUUGGUAGAGCAUCCUUCUCUCCAAAAGAUUUUAUUUUGAAGUCCGAAUAUGCCUAUAGAACCAUAUAAUUAUGGGAGCGAACCAGUGCGCCGAUCAAAGACGUUAAGGCUGCUCUCAUUGAUAGCAAUUGGGACAUUGAGGCUGCUCAGAAGGAAUUGAGGAGGAAUUUUGGCGUCGAAAAAGUCAUCUCGGAUGGCUGCUGGCUCUGGCUCAAAAUGAGAACAAGGCUGCUAUUAUUGAACUUAACUGUGAGACUGACUUUGUUGCUCGAUAUCUUUCAAUACUUGUCUUUGGAGUUGGAGGCUUUUGCCUCUGUUGGGUUUUUUUCCAAUAACUUAAAUGGCCUAAAGACACAGUAAAUAGGUACAUUUUAAAUUCAUAUUUCAUAACUUGGUUGCUUGAUUCUACUGCCACUGUUCAUUGGCUUCUCCUACGAGAUAGCAGGGGUAUAUCACUAUGGAAGAACUAGAGCAAGUCCUCCACGAAUAUGGCUUACAUGGUGAAUUUUAAUAUUUCCAGGUACAACCAUAUCUCACUCUCUUUGCCACUCAGCCUUAAGACCCGAUUUUCACCCGUGCUUCAGCCAAAACAGGUGCUCUCUCCAAUUUUCAUCUCUUCCAUACUCAAACCCUAGCCGCUCCACCUACAACUCAAAACCUCGACAAAACACAAUUCCCCUUCUGCAAAAGCUCGAGAGUUUUCUCUCUUUGAGAAUUAAAAAGUGUUAGAAACAGUGCUUCCAUUGGAAUCGACUCACCAAGAGCCCUUCUCUCUGCCUGAUCCCAUUCCUCAAUGGCAUGUAGUUGUGGCUAUGAAAGUUUGCUUUAUUUGGUUAUAGCAUAUAUAUUCGAAGCAACAAGAAGAAUUGGAUACGUGGCUUCGAAGAAUUGGAUACGUGAGGCGAUGUGUUGUCUGUUGUAUCUCAGGGUUUUGGAAAAUUAUCUUUGGUUGCUUCAUCGGCGGCUCAGUCAGCUGCAAGUGUAGUCCAGGCAGGCAGGCACAAAAGAGAUUACUACUAAGCCAAAAGAAAUCGAAGAUGCAAAACUGGUAAUUGAAGCUUUAAGAAGUAAAGGUAUUUCUGCAAUUGGUGUUGUAGGCUUUUGUUGAGGUGGUCCUGCUCACACCAACUCAUCUAGCCAUUGUGAUGGAGUACGCGGCUGGGUGAUAACUUUUCGAGAGAAUAUGCAGUGCUGGCAGAUUUAGUGAGGAUGAGGUUAAGUAGUUUCAAAGGCAGAGAAAAUUUCAUUGUAAAUGUUUUUGGCGUAGAGUCUGAAAUAUGGGAUCUCUGAAUGUCCCCUGAAAUGGAAUCCAUUUCGAUUUUCGUUUCAGAUAGGGAAAGUUAGGUCUGAAGCAUAUUUUUACAUAACAGUCGGUCAUAAUAUAACUAAAACUUCCAUACUUUUUCGAUUUAAUUGUUGUUUUGCAUCGGGCAAGGUUUUUCUUCCGGCAGUUGAUAUCAGGAGUUGGUUACUGUCAUUUGAUGGUAUGUAAUGUGGCAGUUUUAUGCUAAUGCGUCGUAUACUGUUAUUUGUUUCUCUUUUGAUAUUGGAAGUGUUGGUUGUAGCAUACGACUUAGUUUCAAUAGCAUACGACUUAGUUUCAAUAGUAUAGACUCGGUUUUUGAAUAACACUCUGGUGGUUUUCGAUUACAACUAAGUUUUCUAAAUGCCAAUUACAGCUCUAACGAGGAUGGAGAAGCCAUCUUGGAAUUUGUCCCUGCAUUCUUAGUAUAGACUCACUUAAUUAUAAAUAACACUUACAUGUGCUUAUUUCACUUUAUUAAUUUUUGCAUUCCAAUUGUUCUUUAUCUAUGGCGAUAACUGUCUGAGAACGAAACAAAGUAAAAUUCCGUUCUUGGCUCUCUUUUUCUUUAAUGUAGCAUCUGUUUACCUGUUAAUGUAAAUUUGGGUUAUGUUGGAUUUUUCAAUUUGAUUCUUCAAAAUCUCGCCAUUGCCCGCUCUCAUUUCCCCAAUUCAUCUCUGCUCUCUCUCUCUUUUUUUUCUCAGAUCCCAUAACUCUCUAACAUGAAAAAUAGAUCUCCAAAAUGAAAAGAGUUGGCCUUCUCCCUCUCGGAACUCAUCCCCAUUUCACAGCAACUCCUUCCUCCCAUUUAUUGUUUUUCUCAUUUCUUUCGAAUCCCAUGUCUCUGUAAAACGAAAAAUACCUCUUUCCCCCACAUUUUUUCUCCUUUCCACAACUGCUUCUUCAUCCUCGCUAAACGUGGCAUCCGUGCUGCAACUAACAGCCCAGCUAUCUACACACCUCCGUGUUUCUCGAACACAACCAUGGUGACAGGAGUGGAAAAACUGAGAUGCAAGAAGCUGUGUGAGGACCCCCAAGAGUUGCAAAUCCGAGCCGACCUACACCACGCGCCUAUCUCUACGGAAACCCGAAACCCUUCAACUUCUGCCAUGGAAAUGUGAAGGUCCUCGAUCUGGAAGCCUAACCAUGACAAGAAAAAUGAAAACCAACUACAAUGUAGAUCCGGUUCCUGCAAAAGAUCCGUGACAGAUCCGAGAAAGAUAAAUCUCAGCUGAAAAUCCACUGGACAGAAAGCAUGACACAGCUUAAAAAUCGUGACCUAUUGAUUAUGAAGUAAAUUGUGCAGGACGACAAUCUGAUCCCGGAACAAAGGAAGGAAACAGGACAGCUCAGACAUCACAGAUCCACCUCCUAUACGAAGGGAAUGCAGAUUCAUGAUAGAGCCCAUGGGAAGGAAAGUGGAUGGACAAACAUCAGCUUCAAUAGACAAAAACGACACAAGCUUCCAAGAGCCCAGAUCGGUGAAUCUGGGAGGUAAAAUUCCAUAGCCUUGCAAGUUGAAUUGUUGUAGAUCUGGUAAUAAUAGCUGUACUCAGUUCUGUGGUGUAUGGAUAUGUGAUUUAACUGUGGUUCUCCUCCAUGCAUCGCAAAACUGAGCUGCAGAAAAUUAACUGCUCAAAAUUAUGUCUCUGUGCUGGAUCUGCAACAAUCUCCCCCAAACUUGCAUAUGUGAAUGACUUGUUAUGUUGACUGCUUUAAAUUUCCAGCAUAGUGUAGAUGUGGUUGAUGUGAACGUUAGACUUGCUGCUGGGUGCAGGAUUCCAGCAUAGGACGCGCUUUAUUUUCCACGUUCGCAACCUGCAAUUAACCAAUAUGCGUCAAAAAAUUAAAA
Molecule: non-coding RNA, 4686 nt
Organism: Malus domestica (apple)
Lineage: Eukaryota; Viridiplantae; Streptophyta; Magnoliopsida; Rosales; Rosaceae
Source: RefSeq, a predicted model, not a curated record